GUGUCUGUCAGCCAGUUUCCCAGCCCCUGGUGCACUGAAGCUCAGGCCUUUCCUGGCAUCCUGGCCUCCUGCACUGAGCUGUGUGAGUGCUUCUGCCCAGGCAGGCCACUUGGCAUUGACCGGUAUAGAUGGUGACCCUGAAGAAAGACUUCAGUUGGGCCUGAAGGCCCCGGGCCAGUGUCCAUCAUCCAGGUGCUCAGCUCCCAGUGCACUGAAGCUCAGACCCUUCCUGGUUCCCUGGUCUCUUGCACUGAGCUCUGAUGGUGAGACUUGAGGAAGACUUCCACUGGGCCUGCUUUUCCUGAGCCAGUGCCCAUCACCCAGGUGCUCAGUCCCUGGUGCACUGAAGCUCCAGCCCUUCCUGGCGCCCUGGUCUCCUGAACUGAGCUGUGUGAGCUCUUCUGCCAAGCGGUUCCCCUGGCAUUGACCAACAUAGAUGGUGAGCCUGGAGGAAGACUUGCGUUGGGCCCAAAGGCCCUAGACCAGUGUCUGUCAGCCAGGUUCCCAACCCCCGAUGCGCUGAAGCUCAAGCCUUUCCUGGCACCCUGGUCUCCUGCACUGAGCUGUGUGAGCUCUUCUGCCCAGGCGGGCCCCCUGGAAUUGAUGGGUAUAGAUGGUGACCCCGGAGGAAAAUUUGUGUUGGGCCCACUAUCCCUGGGCCAAUGUCAGUCAGCUAGGCACCCAGCCCCCAGUGCGCUGAAGCUCAGGACCUUCCUAGUGCCCUCGGCUCCUGCACUGAGCUCUGAUGGUAAGCCUGGAGGAAGACUUGUGUUGGGCCCACAGGCCCCAGGCCAAUGUCUGUCAGCCAGGUGCUCAGCCUCUGGUGCGCUGAAACUCUGACCCUUCCUGGCACACUGGUCUCCUGCACUGAGCUGGGAUUUUCCACCUAGGAGGUCCACCUGGCAUUGACUGACAUAGAUGGUGAGACUUCUGUCGGCCUCGCUUUUCCUGGGCCAGUGUCCAUCAGCCAGGUGCUCAGCCCCAGUGCACUGAAGCUCCAGCCCUUCCUGGCGCCCUGGACUGAGCUGUGUGAGCUCUUCUGCCAAGGGGGUCCUCCUGGCAUUGACCAACAUAGGUGGUGAGCCUGGAGGAAGACUUGCAUUGGGCCCAAUGGCCCUGGACCAGUGUCUGUCAGCCAGGUUCCCAGCCCCCGAUGCGCUGAAGCUCAAGCCUUUCCUGGCACCCUGGUCUCCUGCACUGAGCUGUGUGAGCUCUUCGGCCCAAGUGGUCCCCCCGGCCUUAAGCGGCAUAGAUGGUGAGCCUGGAGGAAGACUCGUGUUGGGCCCACAGGCCCCAGGCCAGUGUACGUCAGCCAGGUGCUCAGCCCAUGGUGUGCUGAAGCUCUGACCCUUCCUGACUCCGUGGUCUCCUGCACUGAGCUGUGAUGACCAUAUCCAGUGAGCUCUUCCAAACAGGUGGGCUCCCUAGCAUUGACCGACAGAGUGAGCUCUGCCACCCAGGACAUCCCCCUGGCAUUGACUGGCAUAGAUGCUGACCCUGGAGGAAGACUUGUGUCGGGCCCCCAGGCCCCAGGCCAGUGUCCAUCAGCCAGGUGCUCAGCUCCCAGUGCGCUGAAGCUCAGACCCUUCCUGGCACCCUGGUGUCCAGCACUGAGCUGUGUGAGCUUUUCCACCCAGGUGGGCCCCCUGGCAUUGACCGACAUAGAUGAUGAGACUGGAGGAAGACUUCCAUUGGGCCCACUUUUCCUGGGCCAGUGUCCAUCAGCCAGGUGCUCAGCCCCUGGUGUACUGAAGCUCCAGCCUUUCCUGGUGCCCCAGUCUUCUGCACUAAGCUGUGUGAGCUCUUCCACCCAGGAGGGCCCCUUGGCAUUGACUGGCAUAGAUGGUGAGACGGGAGGAAGACUUGUGUUGGGCCUGCUGUUCCUGGGCCAGUGGCCAUCAGCCUGUUGCCCAGCCCCUGAGGCGCUGAAGCUCAGGCCCUUCCUCACACCCUGGUCUCCUGCACUAGCUGUGUGAGCUCUUCUGCCCAGGUGGGGCCCAUGGCCUUACACGACAUAGGAGCACGCAUUUCUUGAAGUCCUGCAAAGGUGAUGGUGGUCCAGACAGGAGAGGGUUCCUUCAGCCCAACAUAGCGCAGCUCCCAGCUGAAACUCGGAAGGCUGGUCAGGCCUCGAGGACUGCCCAGGCCACAUGAGGGUUUGGUGGCCGGGAGGGCCAAUGAUGCUCUGCGUCUGUGUUGGAUCAGUGUUCUUCAUGGAUUCCAUCACAUGGUGAGCCUUGAGGAAGACUUGUAUUGGGCCCCCACAGGCCCCAGGCCAGUGUCCGUCAGCCUGGUGCUCACCCCCAGUGUGCUGAAGCUCAGACCCUCCGUGGCACCCUGGUCUCCUGCACUGAGCUGUGUGAACUUUUCCUCCCAGAUGGGCCCCCUGGCAUUGACUGGCAUAGAUGGUGAGACCGGAGGAAGACUUGCAUUGGGCCUGUUGUUCCUGGGCCAGUGGCCAUCAGCCUGUUGCCCAGCCCCUGAUGCGCUGAAGCUCGGGCCCUUCCUCGCGCCCUGGUCUCCUGCACUGAGCUGUGUGAGCUCUUCUGCCCAGGUGAGGCCCAUGGCCUUAAGCGGCAUAGAUGGUGAGCCUGGAGGAAGACUUGUAUUGGGACCCUACAGGCCCCAGGCCAGUGUCUGUCAGCCUGGUGCUCAUCCCCCAGUGCGCUGAAGCUCAGACCCUCCCUGGCACCCUGGUCUCCUGCACUGAGCUGUGAUGGUGAGUCUGGAGGAAGACUUGUGUUGGACCCCCACAGGCCCCAGGCCAGUGUCCAUCAGCCUGGUGCUAAUCCCCCAGUGCUCUGGAGUUUGGACCCUCCCUGGCACCCUGGUCUCCUGCACUGAGCUGUGUGAGCUCUUCCACCCGGGCGGGCCCCCGGCAUUGACUGGCAUAGGUGGUGAGCCCGGAGGAGGACUUGCGUUCGGCCCGCUGGUCCCAGUGUGUCCGGAAUUGGUGGGUUCUUGGUCUCACUGACUUCAAGAAUGAAGCUGCGGACCCUCGCUAUGAUGAUAUGGAAGAAAAGCACUCUUUGGCCUGUUGUGACUGGGACAGUUGACAGCACCCAGGUGUCCUUUAAUGAAAAUGCUCUUGACACCAAUGCAUCCUAGCAUCACAGCUUCAGGAAGCCUUCUCAAGUGUGCAUGGGGAGUACUAUGUCUUUCAUCAAUAAUGAAAUCUUCUGAUUUGUAAGACAUGCUGCCAAGAGAUGUGCCAUUCUAUUAUAAAAGAUCAGUAGCUUCCUUUACCGACGUGUAUAUUCUAUCUAGAACAUUGAGCUAUGGAAGACUCCCACCUAAGGGAAUUAGUUUUACACCUUCAGAUAAAGACUGCUGAGAAGAGCACCCUCUGGUGUUGUCACAGAGGCAAGUGCUACCGCACAGGCAUGCUGCAGUGAAUUUAACUGAUCCUCUGUCCCUGCAACCGUUGUUUAAGGAUGCUAUUCUGAAAAGACUGUGGAGGAAGAAAACCCUUUACCCUGUUGUUCAGGGAGAAACUGACACCACUCAACUGCCUGGCACUGAAAAUGUGGCAUCCAGUCCACUUUACCAUCAGUGUUUAAGGAAACCAUCUCUGAUAAGGAUGACUGAGGAAGAGUACUCUUUGGCUUGUUGACACCAGCACAGCUGACACACCCAGAUAUCUGUUUGGUCUCCUGUGAACUUUCAACCAGGAUUUAAGGAUGCCACUCUGGUUAAAAGCUGAAACAACUUCAAGGAAACUUCAGGGAAAAGAGAAGGCCUGGAAUCUGAUCCUCCACUUCAGAGAACAGGGAGAAAAAAGUGCAUGUGAAAUACUACUACUUAUCCAUCUCCUGGCUCUGAGCAGUACAUGUCAGGAACAAGAGGGAAUUGUAGCUGGAAGACAGUAGAAGAGCCAUAGGACAAGUCUCUAAGAGAAGGAAGAAAAGGCGCAAUGAAAGAAAACAAGUUUAAGAUAGUAGAAAAGCAUUCAAAGACGGCAACCUGAGGUGGUGGAGUCUAUGGCCCUUCUCCUUGAAUCUGAGUGAAAUUAGUGAGUCUUUCAAUCCAAAGACUACAGUCAUACCUCAACUAUCUACAGAGGACUGGUUCCAGGACUCCCAUGGAUCCCAAAAUCCAAGGAUGCUUCGAAUCCCUUAUAUAAAAUGGCAUGGUAUUUGCAUAUAACCUACAUGCAUCUUCAAAUAUGUUAAACCAUCUCUAGAUUACUUAUAAUACCAAAUACAAUGUAAUGCUAUGUAAACAGUUGUUACAAUGUAUUGUCAAAGACAAGCUCUCCUUGCCAAUCCCUGACCAAAUGAGAGAUUCAUGAGCAAAAUAAAUAGUUGCUGAUAUUUAAGGCACUAAGUUUGGGGCAAUGUAUUACACAGCAAUAAAUAACUGGAACAGCAUAGUAAAUUCUAGUUAAAAAUACUAAACUACUAAGUUUUAGUUAACAUACAUGCUCAAGUUAAGGGUGUGGUAUACUAACAACUGCAACUUACUUUGAAAAGCAUAAAAAAAG
RNAcentral lists this long non-coding RNA (4483 nucleotides) under Homo sapiens (human). RNAcentral's name for it is "small nucleolar RNA host gene 14". The record is from RNAcentral. Lineage: Eukaryota; Metazoa; Chordata; Mammalia; Primates; Hominidae.